This is a ribozyme of Xenopus tropicalis (tropical clawed frog), 273 nucleotides long. It matches the Rfam family "RNase MRP". From Rfam's summary of the family: RNase MRP is an enzymatically active ribonucleoprotein with two distinct roles in eukaryotes. In mitochondria it plays a direct role in the initiation of mitochondrial DNA replication. Lineage: Eukaryota; Metazoa; Chordata; Amphibia; Anura; Pipidae. The record is from Ensembl.
AAGCAUUCUGAAGACCUGACGUCUAGGCAACGUACGGGGGGCGUAGUUCCCCAAUCACAUGACGCCUAGGGGAAAGUCCCCGGAUCUCGGGCAGAGAGUGCCGUGCGCCACACGGCGUGCAAUAAUCCCACCCUGCUGUCCGUAUCAGCCCGCCAAGAAGCUCCCAGAGCCGAGCGGAUUGGACUAGGGCGGGACCUCUCAUCAGUCUCCAUAGAAACUCAGGUAGCGCGGCAAUCUCCUCGCUAACACAACGGGGCUCAUUCUCAGAAUGCU